Molecule: ribosomal RNA, 726 nt
Filed under: Tubakia suttoniana
Lineage: Eukaryota; Fungi; Ascomycota; Sordariomycetes; Diaporthales; Tubakiaceae
Description: eukaryotic LSU rRNA
Rfam family: Eukaryotic large subunit ribosomal RNA
Source: RNAcentral
CUCAAAUUUGAAAUCUGGCCUCGGCCCGAGUUGUAAUUUGCAGAGGAUGCUUUUGGUGCGGUGCCUUCCGAGUUCCCUGGAACGGGACGCCACAGAGGGUGAGAGCCCCGUAUGGUCGGACACCAAUCCUGUGUAAAGCUCCUUCGACGAGUCGAGUAGUUUGGGAAUGCUGCUCUAAAUGGGAGGUAAAUCUCUUCUAAAGCUAAAUACCGGCCAGAGACCGAUAGCGCACAAGUAGAGUGAUCGAAAGAUGAAAAGCACCUUGAAAAGGGGGUUAAACAGUACGUGAAAUUGUUGAAAGGGAAGCACUUGUGACCAGACUUGGGCCGGGCGGCUCAUCAGGGGUUCUCCCCUGUGCAUUCCGCCCGGUACAGGCCAGCAUCGGUUCUUACCGGGGGAUAAGAACGGCAGGAACGUGGCUCCCUCUCGGGGGAGUGUUAUAGCCUGCCGUACGAUACCCUGGCGGGGACCGAGGUUCGCGCUUCCGCAAGGAUGCUGGCGUAAUGGUUACUAGUGACCCGUCUUGAAACACGGACCAAGGAGUCGUCCAUUAGAGCGAGCGUUUGGGUGUAAAACCCGCACGCGUAAUGAAAGUGAAAUUAGGUGAGAGCUUCGGCGCAUCAUCGACCGAUCCUGAUGUUCUCGGAUGGAUUUGAGUAAGAGUUUUAACGGACGGACCCGAAAGACAGUGAACUAUGCUUGUAUAGGGUGAAGCCAGAGGAAACU